RNAcentral lists this long non-coding RNA (354 nucleotides) under Homo sapiens (human). Its description in RNAcentral is "HSALNT0094956". The record is from RNAcentral. Lineage: Eukaryota; Metazoa; Chordata; Mammalia; Primates; Hominidae.
AACACUUCAGGAUAGGUCACACGUAGGGCCUGCAUGUACUAUGAACCCACACUUUCAUUUUUAUAUUCUGGAGUGCGCUAUUUUCAGAACAGUCAGACAAAGGGGUAUUUUUCCUUUUGAAAAAUCUCCUUUUCUCUCCCCUAGAGGAAAAUACAUGAGAAUCAAAUGUAAGAGACUACAGUGGCUUUAGCAAGAGAAGCCAAUAUUUAAGGAUCAGGGACAGGAAACAGGAAACUCCUUCUUGGCCUCCCCACCCCAUGGAUUAAAUGGUAGCAGGGGCUGCCUGGUGCCUUGCCCAUGAAGCUUGACUAUUCAUGCUUAGAAGGAGGAGCAUCAUGAACAUUAAGAAACCAG